AUGAACGCUGGCGGCGUGCCUAAUACAUGCAAGUCGAGCGAACAGACGAGGAGCUUGCUCCUUUGACGUUAGCGGCGGACGGGUGAGUAACACGUGGAUAACCUACCUAUAAGACUGGGAUAACUUCGGGAAACCGGAGCUAAUACCGGAUAACAUGUUGAACCGCAUGGUUCAACAGUGAAAGACGGUCUUGCUGUCACUUAUAGAUGGAUCCGCGCCGCAUUAGCUAGUUGGUAAGGUAACGGCUUACCAAGGCAACGAUGCGUAGCCGACCUGAGAGGGUGAUCGGCCACACUGGAACUGAGACACGGUCCAGACUCCUACGGGAGGCAGCAGUAGGGAAUCUUCCGCAAAGGGCGAAAGCCUGACGGAGCAACGCCGCGUGAGUGAAGAAGGUCUUCGGAUCGUAAAACUCUGUUAUUAGGGAAGAACAAAUGUGUAAGUAACUAUGCACGUCUUGACGGUACCUAAUCAGAAAGCCACGGCUAACUACGUG
This 496-nucleotide ribosomal RNA is filed under the name uncultured bacterium. Its description in RNAcentral is "partial 16S ribosomal RNA". It matches the Rfam family "Bacterial small subunit ribosomal RNA", at positions 29 to 507 of the family's 1533-position model. The record is from RNAcentral.